Molecule: unclassified non-coding RNA, 258 nt
Filed under: fungal sp.
Lineage: Eukaryota; Fungi
Description: partial internal transcribed spacer region
Rfam family: Eukaryotic small subunit ribosomal RNA (bases 1-46)
Source: RNAcentral
AAGUCGUAACAAGGUUUCCGUAGGUGAACCUGCGGAAGGAUCAUUAACACUGAAAUCAUUGGAUGCCAACUUUUUAAGUUGUCAUCCACAUGUCUACCCACUCUUGGACACACUCGGAGACUGCGAAAGUAGUCGCUUUUUUUCUCCCAUUUUUAAACCCAACCCCCACACCAAAAUACAUAACCAAUGCCAAUGACUGAUAUCACCAGUUUGUUAUAAAUUGUAAAACAACUCUUAACAACGGAUAUCUUGGCUCUC